CGGCGUGCUUACACAUGCAGUCGAACGAUGAACCGCUUUCGGGCGGGGAUUAGUGGCGAACGGGUGAGUAACACGUGGGCAAUCUGCCCUGCACUCUGGGACAAGCCCUGGAAACGGGGUCUAAUACCGGAUAUGACUGUCCAUCGCAUGGUGGAUGGUGUAAAGCUCCGGCGGUGCAGGAUGAGCCCGCGGCCUAUCAGCUUGUUGGUGAGGUAGUGGCUCACCAAGGCGACGACGGGUAGCCGGCCUGAGAGGGCGACCGGCCACACUGGGACUGAGACACGGCCCAGACUCCUACGGGAGGCAGCAGUGGGGAAUAUUGCACAAUGGGCGAAAGCCUGAUGCAGCGACGCCGCGUGAGGGAUGACGGCCUUCGGGUUGUAAACCUCUUUCAGCAGGGAAGAAGCGAAAGUGACGGUACCUGCAGAAGAAGCGCCGGCUAACUACGUGCCAGCAGCCGCGGUAAUACGUAGGGCGCAAGCGUUGUCCGGAAUUAUUGGGCGUAAAGAGCUCGUAGGCGGCUUGUCACGUCGGUUGUGAAAGCCCGGGGCUUAACCCCGGGUCUGCAGUCGAUACGGGCAGGCUAGAGUUCGGUAGGGGAGAUCGGAAUUCCUGGUGUAGCGGUGAAAUGCGCAGAUAUCAGGAGGAACACCGGUGGCGAAGGCGGAUCUCUGGGCCGAUACUGACGCUGAGGAGCGAAAGCGUGGGGAGCGAACAGGAUUAGAUACCCUGGUAGUCCACGCCGUAAACGGU
This 753-nucleotide ribosomal RNA is filed under the name Streptomyces sp. RNAcentral describes it as "bacterial SSU rRNA". It matches the Rfam family "Bacterial small subunit ribosomal RNA", at positions 40 to 810 of the family's 1533-position model. The record is from RNAcentral. Lineage: Bacteria; Bacillati; Actinomycetota; Actinomycetes; Kitasatosporales; Streptomycetaceae.